Non-coding RNA from Pelobates cultripes (western spadefoot toad), 280 nucleotides. NCBI's taxonomy places the organism in Eukaryota, Metazoa, Chordata, Amphibia, Anura, Pelobatidae. The record is from the annotation of a GenBank genome assembly.
ACUGCUUGCAUUUGUCUUGCUAUAUAUUGUUCAAUAUUCCAACAUUCUGUAAUUCUGAUUACCCAGUGACAUACAUACUUUGUAAAAGGGCAUAGUUUUUUUGUUUAGUUGCAAGUUUUUUUUUAUAGUACUUGAUCCUGUUUAUAGUACUGUACCACCACUCCAUGGCCUUAACAGUGCCCAUGUUGAUGCAAAAGGCUGCUAUAAUACAAUAUUUUGCAUAUUAGAUUAGAUGUAGACAUAUUUAUCUAUAUAUGUUGAUAUAAUAACUAGAAGAGCU